UAUAAAUCCCUGUGCUACCAACAAUUCCAGAUGGUGCAUUCUGCGUACAAUCCCUGAGCGUGAUUGCACUUUCACGCCUUUCACUGAGCAAAUGUCGCGAUACGAUAAAAACAAACCUCAGCAAGAAACUUCAAACCGUACGAGAAUGCCGACACCGUUAGCGCCACAGCCGCUUAUUUGGAAGCAUCUAGAUUCUAACAAUAAAACACCCACUCCGCUGCUGAAAGAUUGUUAUUACAUCGUUCGUGCUCGCAACAAGUGGUUCGCGUGAUUAGUAUGGUUAAUUUUUGAGCUGCAACUUCGUUUGACAUGCUGUUGAACUGUUUUAUUUGUACAUCGCGAGCUGCUAAGGGGCCAAUGUCUCACCAGUCGUUUUCCUUGGAUAUUUUAUGCAAAUGAUUAAGUUUGUCUGGUUGGAUAAAAUGAAGUAUUAACAGCAUCAGUAAAUGGGGGGGAUCGACGCCGUAUGUCUUAAUAAUAACAACACAGAAAAAGCGUCGCUUUCCGUCAUCAUGAUGAAAUUGGUGGUCGACGAAACAAACGGAAUAAAAAGAUAAUCCAAUUUCGGA
This is a long non-coding RNA of Anopheles stephensi (Asian malaria mosquito), 569 nucleotides long. RefSeq lists it as uncharacterized. The record is from RefSeq and is a predicted model, not a curated record. Lineage: Eukaryota; Metazoa; Arthropoda; Insecta; Diptera; Culicidae. The transcript is spliced from 2 exons.